CUGGAGUGCAGUGGUCUGAUCUCAGCUCACUGCAAUCUCUGCCUCCCGGGUUCAAGUGAUUCUCCUGCCUCAGACUCCUGAGUAGCUGGGGUUACAGGUGUCUGCCACCGCACCUGGCUAAUUUUUGUAUUUUUAGUAGAGAUGGGGUUUCACCAUGUUGGCUAGGCUGGUCUCGAACUCCUGACCUCGUGAUCCACCCGCCUUGGCCUCCCAACGUGCUGAGAUUACAGGCGUGAGCUACCGUGCCCGGCCCACUGUUGCUAUUUUAAAGUGUCCCUGUGAAGUCUUGAUGCAUACAUGCACACACAUGCACCCACACACGCCUACACAGCCAUGUGUGCACAUGACACAGGGUCGCAGUCUCACACACCACACUCCUACACAGCCACAUGUGCACAUGACACAGGGUCCCAGUCACACACACGCCACACUCCUACACAGCCACGUGUGCACAUGACACAGGGUCCCAGUCACACACACACCACACUCCUACACAGCCACGUGUACACAUGACACAGGGUCCCAGUCACACACAUGCCACACUCCUACACAGCCACGUGUACACAUGACACAGGGUCCCAGUCACACACAUGCCACACUCCUACACAGCCACGUGUGCACGACACAGGGUCGCAGUCUCACACACCACACACCUACACAGCCAUGUGUGCACAUGACACAGGGUCACAGUCUCACAAGCCACACUCCAAAUGCCACACUCUCACCACACAUCCACACACAUUCUUAUUUGUUUCAAACGAAACCUGGAUUAAGUCACUCGGUUUCACUUUCCAGCUUUCCUCAUUGGCCGUCAUGCCUUGGAUCAUUAAGGACACUUUGGAACGGAGCUUUGCUAUUCUCUGAAGAUACACAAAAUCCUCCACUGCUCACGUCAUAAUCUAUUUACCAACUGUGGAAAAUUCCGCGGUGCCUGUGGUUUUUAAAGUGAUGCUGAAGCGAGCACCUUUGUGCAUAUGUCUUGAUCCACGCCUGAUUUUAAAAUUUCAGAUAAAAUCCUAGAAGUGAAAUGGCUGGAGAGAGAGUUACAGCAGAGCCAGGUUCUCCGUCCUGCGCGGUUUCUAAGUGAAAUGGCUGGAGAGAGAGUCACAGCAGAGCCAGGGGCUCCAUCCUGCGCGGUUUCUGCAUUUGGUGUUGAGUUGUCCUUUCUGCAUCGGAAUUCUGACUCCUGAAAUCACAUUUCUCACCGUGUCUAGGUCAUACUUUCAAUAAUCUUUCAAUAACCUUUCUGCUGCUUUUUUUUUUGGAGACGGAGUCUUGCUCUGUCGCCCAGGCUGGAGUGCAAUGCAAUGGCGUGAUCUUGGCUCACUGCAACCUCUGCCUCCCAGGUUCAAGCGAUUCUCUUCCCUCCUCCUCCCGAGUAGCUGGGAUUACAGGCACACGCCACCACGCCCGGCUAAUUUUUUUCGUAUUUUUAGUAGAGACAGGGUUUCACCAUGUUGGCCAGGCUGGUCUCAAAGUCCUGACCUCAGGUGAUCUGCCCGCCUCAGCCUCCCAAAGUGUUGGGAUUACAGGCGUGCGCCACCAUGCCCAGCUAAUUUUUGUAUUUUGUGUUUUGGUAGAGACAGGGUUUCACCAUGUUGGCCAGGCUGGUCUCAAACUCCUGACCUCAAGUGAUUCACCCACCUCAGCCUCCCAAAGUGUUGGGAUUACAAGGGUGCGCCACCGCGCCCGGCCCCUGCUUCUCAUUUUAGAAUACAUUCACUGCUACUUCCUCUUCACUCAUUAUUACUUUAUACCCGGCAUUUACAUAUAAAAUUCCAUCUGGAUUUGAGGGUGCUGUCCUCAGUGCCCUUUCCCCGGGACAGAACGCUGCCUGGGCUGCACCCCCUGCCAGAGGGUUCUUGGCAGAGCCCUUUGGUGC
This 1882-nucleotide long non-coding RNA is filed under the name Homo sapiens (human). RNAcentral's name for it is "non-protein coding lnc-OGFOD3-1:6". Lineage: Eukaryota; Metazoa; Chordata; Mammalia; Primates; Hominidae. The record is from RNAcentral.